This 292-nucleotide ribosomal RNA is filed under the name uncultured bacterium. Its description in RNAcentral is "partial 16S ribosomal RNA". RNAcentral also lists the same sequence under 1 other name. The record is from RNAcentral.
GGACUACUGGGGUAUCUAAUCCUGUUUGCUCCCCACGCUUUCGUGCCUCAGCGUCAGUUACAGUUUAGUGAGCUGCCUUCGCAAUCGGUGUUCUGUGUCAUAUCUAAGCAUUUCACCGCUACAUGACACAUUCCGCCCACCUCAAAUGUACUCAAGACCAUCAGUAUCAAUGGCAGUUCCCAAGUUAAGCUUGGGGCUUUCACCACUGACUUAAUAGCCCGCCUACGCACCCUUUAAACCCAAUAAAUCCGGAUAACGCUUGGGACCUUCGUAUUACCGCGGCUGCUGGCAC